Molecule: long non-coding RNA, 2769 nt
Organism: Ornithodoros turicata
Lineage: Eukaryota; Metazoa; Arthropoda; Arachnida; Ixodida; Argasidae
Exons: 4
Source: RefSeq, a predicted model, not a curated record
GGCUGGGAACGUAACGGGGAUGAUGGGUUCGAGGUGGCCGAUAUCGCCGUCACGAGCCCGACUGCUUCCCGACUAUGUGAGGGGGAAGAAUUGAGGGAGAGGGAAACUACAUAAAAUUAUUUCCCGAUAGAUCCCCGUUCGUGUCCCGGUCAGAAUUCUUUCCCGAUAGAUUCCCGUUUGCGUCCCGGCCAGGAUUCUUUCCCGAUGGAUCCCCGUUAACGUCCCGAUCUGCUGUGGUGUACUGGCUAAGUAUUUCUUCCCGCUCGUCUCCCGAUGUUUAUGCAGAUUCGGUAACACGUGAUCGGAUGGUACAGCUCGAGACAAAGUUUCUGAAACACGGGUUUUCUGUAUUGGACUUUUCCCAGCCACCUUUGGGAAAUGCUUGUUGAGCAGAAUCCUUGGGGAUUCUGUUCAACAAGUGUUCCCCUUAGGCCGCAGGGGAGGCGUAGAGAAGUGAAAUACAAAACACCCGUGUUUCAGAAACUUUUGUCCCAAGCUGUACGAGACAGUGAAGCAUCCCUUCAGGAAGGAAUUUGGCUGUCUGGUAUGAGGUAACUCUUUCAAACAUUGGGCUGCAGUUCACUUCAUGUGUUGUGUUGUGUUGUGUUGUAUGACGGAAAACAUGCACACGCAGCACCCUGAACAGAAGUAUUAAUGGAGCCUCACUGCAAAGCACGCAAGUACAAGAUACUCGGGAAGAGUCGGCCACGCCCGAACGAAACGACCGAAUCUCCCGAAUCGAAAAACUCACGUGAAACGAAACGAAGAGAGCUUUAGCAAGUCGAACUGAUCGGACGAAAACCGCUGCACCGAAACCCGCAAAGACUACGCUGGAGCUCCCUGCAUUUGGGCUACCGCGACUGCCAUCGCCAUCAUCUUUGUUUUGGUUGUCAUUGCUGGGUGCAAAUGGCCGGCGUGUGUGUUCUUAAUGUUUCUGAGCAACAAGUUUUGCAAAGUUUGGUUCGGAGGGAGUAUGGAACGCCGUUUUGUGGUCAACGUGGCCAGAGUGCCUCAAAAGUACUCCUGCCGCAUUCUGGUCACUGUUAUAAAUGUGAAUCCCUGCCACCAUCAGCAGCUUUUAAGUAGAUUCAUGGCACAUGAGGAACCUGCGAUGUACACCAUCGCACACAGUCAAGAAAAAUGUAGCAUUUAACCUUGCUUUCCUUCAUUAUAACAAACAAAAAAAAAAGAAAGAAAGAAAGAACACUAGAGAAAGGGUCGGCAAAACAGUGAGUGUUUUGUUGUUUUUGAUUCUAUUGAUCUCUCACUGUCAGGUUGCACUGCCGAUCUGUUCACAAUCAUAACUAACUAAUACCUUAGCUUUGGCCAAUCUCAUGUUGCAAUUUUGCUUCAAACACAACAUUCAGGGAUUCUUAUGAAAACAGCAGCAUUUCUGAAAGAUCCUGGAACGGCCACAAUCUCAAGAGGUAGUACGAUUCUACCCGUCGUCAUAUUUCGUCCGCCAAGCCAUUGCGCGGAGAUGUUGGCUCCAUGCCCAUUUCAACACAGGCUCACCCGCGCUCGCUCGCGCGUCGUCGCUUGUCUUCCAUGCCACCAGCCAGCGCUGCGCGCUGCCUGUCGCGCAUGCGCUGUUCUUGUUGGCUUCGCUUUGGCUGCUGUAACGGUCGUUUCUCGUCGCCGCGUGUAGUUCGCGUAAUUGCGAGCGUUCCAGCAAGUCUAAAGCGUUUUAGAGGCUUUGUAUUGUUGUUCUCACCUGGUGCUGUCGUUCUUGCAACCCGUCUGAUAUUGCAACUGUCUGUAAGUGGAAGCGUUUCUUCUAACCGCGAGCAAACCAGUCGGUCUCGUUUGACAUGUCAAAGAGUGAAGACGCUACCUUGCAUGUGAAGCCAAAUCGUUCUUCGCCUUCAGGAUUAUUGCCGUUUCGGGGAUCUGCGCAACGACAGGGAGAUAGAACGCCAAGUGAAGUCGACUGUGUACUUUGUGCAGACGGUUCAGCGUGUAUGACGCAGCGGCCUUCAGCAAGAGAAACUCAAGCACCGUGUUCAAAUGCAGUGGGGACUCUUGCUGGCCAUGACAACGCUUAGAAGUGCUUUUUCGGAAGAAGGACAAGUUGGACCGGAAAUGAGGACCUAGGUGUGCUCUUUUGCGCUGUUGUUCACCGUUCGAUCAUUACCAGUUUUUGUGCCCCCGUGAGUUCAACGCUUAGGUAUGUUGAUGAUAAAUGGAUAUGCGUUAAAAGGUACGUACUCCGGAGUGGUGAAUUGUUCUGGUGAAGUGAUUCGUUGCUGCUAUCUCCUGUUUCGUGAGGGUUCUUGUCGGUACUCAUAUACCGCAGGCAUGAGGGGCAUUCUUUGCAGAACAUUUCAGUAAACCAAGACUGCAGCAUUUUCAAGAUUGCCAUAACCAGCAUCAAUGCAGCUCUCAUGUCAACAUCAGCAUCAAGACAGCUCUCAUGUCAACAUCAGCAUCAAGACAGCUCUGAUAGACCACCUCUUACUGUGUACGUUCCCCCCCCCUUUUGAGACACCAUUGAAGGGCCAGUGGUUACGCAGGCAGGCUGGAUAUUACGGUAGACCAUUUCCACCCUUUUCUUUUCAGGCUACAUUGGCAAUGACAGUAGUUAUGCGGACAUGCUGCAUAUUUCUGUAUACCCCUCUUUUUUUGUUUUUCAUUUCAGACACAAUUGGCAUGCAUUGGAUGAUGCAGGCAGACUGCUUAGUGUACACCACUCGUCGUUUAGUCUAUUGAGGUGCUCCAAGUGUUGUGUCAGUCUAUUUCCUCUCCGAAAAUAAAAUGUUGGGCUCUACA